RNAcentral lists this ribosomal RNA (774 nucleotides) under uncultured Neocallimastigales. RNAcentral's name for it is "partial large subunit ribosomal RNA". It matches the Rfam family "Eukaryotic large subunit ribosomal RNA", at positions 24 to 645 of the family's 3401-position model. The record is from RNAcentral. Lineage: Eukaryota; Fungi; Neocallimastigomycota; Neocallimastigomycetes; Neocallimastigales.
UAUCUCUGUAGAGUCUGCAUAUCAAUAAGCGGAGGAAAAGAAACUAACUAGGAUUCCCUCAGUAACGGCGAGUGAAGCGGGAAGAGCUCAAAUUUGAAAUCUUCAAGGUUCUACCUUGACGAAUUGUAGUUUAAAGAAGUGUUUUCUGUUGGAGUUUUGGUAAAAGUUCUUUGGAAUAGGACAUCAUAGAGGGUGAGAAUCCCGUAUUUGACCAUUAUUUCCAACUUUGUGAUACACUUUCAAAGAGUCGGACUGUUUGGGAAUGCAGUCCAAAAUGGGUGGUAAAUUUCAUCUAAAGCUAAAUACUGGCGAGAGACCGAUAGCGAACAAGUACCGUGAGGGAAAGAUGAAAAGAACUUUGAAAAGAGAGUUAAACAGUACGUGAAAUUGUCAAAAGGGAAGCGUUUGACACCAGUGUUGUUUUCUCGAAAAUCAAUUAGAAAUGGCGGGAUUUUGUGUUGUAUUGACUUUAUCAGCUUUCUGCACUUUUUUCUUGUCUUUUUUUAUGCACUUUUCGUUUAACAAGUCAACAUCAAUUUCUUUUGUUGUAAAAGGGUCAUUGGAAGGUGGCUUUCUUUUCGGAGAAAGUGUUUAUAGCCUUUGACUUCUGCAAUCGGAGAGAUUGAGGUCUGCAGCGUAGAUCCUUCGGGGUUAGAUGCAUUUGUGCUAAGUUAUAGCCUUUCAUAGACAACUUGUUGACUAUGUUCAGUCAUGUAGCUUACUCGCUUAUGUUAUUUUACCUACGCUUAGGAUGUUGAUCUCUCACAGUCGAGC